CCACGGACCCCCGGCCCCGUAAACGCAACUCGAAGGCCCUCGGUGCGGCUCCCUGGACAUGUGCGUGGGACCGACCCGAGCCGCGUCCGCGGGCGCCGGGCGGGGAAGCAGCGGCUCUCGCCGUAUUUUUAGCGCCGAGCGCAGAUUUUAGAACAUCAGCCGAACCUCCUCGUCCGUCCCGCUCCUCGGCGGAUGACUUGCCCGGAAAGUGGGCAUAGUGAGCCUCCUUUCACACGCAUGGUGCACAGGCUCUAAAAGGACAGUGUGUAAAUCAGCUUGUAUAAUAACGUGGCACCCACGCGCGUGAGCGGAGUUGCCAUGAGCUUACUUCCAAUGAUUAUUCCGGUUUCCAGGGAGACGAGGUUUGCAGCCACCUCCGUGGAGAAGGAGGGAGCAGCCUCUCCAUUCCCCUGCGGGCGCCAGCCAGAUUGAUUAGGCCUGGGGGCGGAAGUGAACUGACGACGGUGGCUCUUCCUCCGCCCGGAUCCCCGGAUCCCCGGAUCCUCGGAUCCUGGGGAGGAGGCCCGGGGGGCGGGUGCUGCGGUUUAGGUUUAGGUUUUUGGUUUGAGAUCUGGCCUCCGCUCUCCUUCGUGCCCCGCCCCCACCAACCUCUGGCCAGACACUUCCAUGCCCCUGAGCACCACCUUGUUCCUUAAACUGAUCGUACCUCUUCCUGCCACGGGGCCUUUGCACGUGCUGUUCCCUCUUCCUGCUGCAGGUGUCCCUUGCCGCAUCCUCACCUGGCUCCUGCCUUCUUGUUCCUCAGAUCUUAGCUUCACCUCACCAACUUUCGUUGGCUGCCUGCUGUCCUGCAGACACCGUGGAGUGCUUUGCAUGGGUUUUCUUUUGUAGUCCUUGCACCAGACCCUGAGUCGUGUGGCCCUGUAAUUCUCACACAGGCUUUCUAUGAAUUAGCCAGUGACUUGUGGAGUCAGGGUUCAAACCCAGGCUCCGUGCCCAACCUCCUUUCCCCUUGACCUCCCUCCCCUCACCAGACACCAGCCUCCCUCCCUGCUUCCCCUCCUCCCUGCCCCCAGCCCCUCGCAGAGGCCCCCCCUAACAGGUGGGAACUCCUGGUGGUCUAAAGGUCUGUCCUCCCCAUCAGAUUAGCUGCUCAGGGCAGGCAGGCUCCAGGUCCAACUGAUCCCUCGCUCCUCCCCAUCAGGAUUCAGUCCUGCCCUGGCUGCGUGGAAUGAGUGAGUGAAUGAAUGAAUAGGUGGCCAGCACUGACCCUGGGACACUCUGUCCUGUGAUCCUGCCCUGGCUGCGUGGAAUGAGUGAGUGAAUGAAUGAAUAGGUGGCCAGCACUGACCCUGGGACACUCUGUCCUGUGACAGAGUCUAAGUAUCUGGUUCUGCUCAUUGGAAGAAUGCACCAGGCCAGCAGGCAGAGGAGGCACCCACCUGGUGUUGAGACAGGUUGUUGGGGAAGGAGGAGUGACUUCGAACAUCACAGAGCCCGCCAUGUGCCACAUACUUUCUCAGGGACCAGUGUAGCACCUCCAUGCGGGACACAUCACUGCUAGGAUUCUGAAGACAGGGAACCAGAGCCCAGAGAUAAAGGCUCAAACCGAUUAUAACGUCCCCUUUUUCCAGGAACAAUCAAUGCUGAUCUUCACUUAUGGACGUAGUGUGUGCAUUUAUGUGCCAACAUUGCAUAGGCGGUGAUUAAUCCAAAAAACUCUCACAAAACCAGAGCCAGUGAGUUCUGCAAGACAUGAGAAUGUAUUAUUUUAAAUGCUUUUAUCUUGUGAAAUGUAAUAGAUCCACAGAAAAACUCUAUAAUGUAACAGCUUGAUGACUUAUAAAUGAGCAUCUAUAUACUUGCCACCCAGUCAAGGAACAACGUUGCAGGCACCUCCGCAAUCACUGCCCUCCCUCCCAGGAAGGUUCCACUGGCUUCAUUUGAAACCACUUUUCUUGUGUUUAUUUACACUUUUAUCACCUACACGUGUAUCUCUACACAUUUUAGUUUGGCUGUGUGUAUUAUUUGGACUUCGUAUAAGUGGAAUUAUAGAACAUGAUUGCUAUACGUCAGUUUUUUUUUUUCAUCCAAGGAGAUACCUCUAAAUUUUAGCCCUGUUGUUUUCUGUGUCUGUAGUUCACUCACUUUCGUGGCUGGAUCCUAAGCCAUCCUAAGAACAUGCCACAGUUUAUUUUUCCAUUUUACUGAUGAUUUGAUUUGACCGUUGA
Nyctereutes procyonoides (raccoon dog) is the source of this 2192-nucleotide long non-coding RNA. RefSeq lists it as uncharacterized. NCBI's taxonomy places the organism in Eukaryota, Metazoa, Chordata, Mammalia, Carnivora, Canidae. The record is from RefSeq and is a predicted model, not a curated record. The transcript is spliced from 3 exons.